RNAcentral lists this ribosomal RNA (507 nucleotides) under uncultured Glomus. RNAcentral's name for it is "SSU rRNA". It matches the Rfam family "Eukaryotic small subunit ribosomal RNA", at positions 569 to 1082 of the family's 1831-position model. The record is from RNAcentral. Lineage: Eukaryota; Fungi; Glomeromycota; Glomeromycetes; Glomerales; Glomeraceae.
AGCAGCCGCGGUAAUUCCAGCUCCAAUAGCGUAUAUUAAAGUUGUUGCAGUUAAAAAGCUCGUAGUUGAAUUUCGGGAUCAAUAUGUUGGUCGUGCCUCGGUACGUACUAGCAUAUUGGUUUCUCCUUUCUGAAGAACCAUGAUGUCAUUUAUUUGGUGUCGUGGGGAAUCAGGACUGUUACUUUGAAAAAAUUAGAGUGUUUAAAGCAGGCUCACGCUUGAAUACAUUAGCAUGGAAUAAUGAAAUAGGACGUUUGAUUCUAUUUUGUUGGUUUCUAGGAUCGACGUAAUGAUUAAUAGGGAUAGUUGGGGGCAUUAGUAUUCAAUUGUCAGAGGUGAAAUUCUUGGAUUUAUUGAAGACUAACUACUGCGAAAGCAUUUGCCAAGGAUGUUUUCAUUAAUCAAGAACGAAAGUUAGGGGAUCGAAGACGAUCAGAUACCGUCGUAGUCUUAACCAUAAACUAUGCCGACUAGGGAUCGGAUGAUGUUAAUUUUUUAAUGUACUCA